This 291-nucleotide long non-coding RNA is filed under the name Ananas comosus (pineapple). Its description in RNAcentral is "long non-coding RNA (ACOM_LNC024548)". Lineage: Eukaryota; Viridiplantae; Streptophyta; Magnoliopsida; Poales; Bromeliaceae. The record is from RNAcentral.
CACUAGACACGGUGAAUAGUUCACCGUGUCUAGACACGGUAAACCAUUCACCAUGUCCAGUAGAACUACCAGCACUUAGAAAUUUUUCAGCGCAAUAAACCACAGAAUACAACAUCACAACGCAACAACAAAUUCAAUACAACAAUACAAGAAAUUCAACAUCAACAAUACAACAACAAAUCCAACAGAACAUCAGUAAAGUAUCAAUACUAGAUCAUCACAAUAGAAUAUCAAAAAAUAAAGCAAGUUUUUCAAUAAUAUAGAAAGUUCGGUGCAAUUUAAAAUUUACAA